Tympanuchus pallidicinctus (lesser prairie-chicken) is the source of this 2796-nucleotide long non-coding RNA. RefSeq lists it as uncharacterized. The record is from RefSeq and is a predicted model, not a curated record. NCBI's taxonomy places the organism in Eukaryota, Metazoa, Chordata, Aves, Galliformes, Phasianidae. The transcript has 2 exons.
GGCUAAGCCGCUCCAGCCCAGCGGCCACACGAGCCCGCCCGGAAGCGGAAAGGAGAGGCUGCGUUUCGUACAGCGGGUCCGGCGGAAACACGACUCUGCCCGGAAGCACAUCUUGGAGACUCCCACCUAGAAGAAAACAGUCAGUCUGAGAUUCGAAGACCUAAUGGAACACUGUGUUCAGAGCAAGGAAAUUAAGCUCCCAGCAGCAGAUGUGAUUAAAGAAUGCAACAUUUGACAACAGGGCAGAUAAGUUGUGGCUCUCAGUGUUGAUUGGCCUUUUUGCAGGACUAGAAAAAUAUAAUUGCCUCUCUCCCAUCAUCUUUAUUUCCACCACUUCUCCUUUAGUCUCAGCUUUUCAGCCACUAGAAAACAUCUGCCCCCAUGUUUAACUGGUACCUGCACCAGAUUUGCAAUUACUACUCUACACAGCCAUCAACACUUAUCAUAGCUCCCAGCUUGAGGUAGCAUUUGAGCAAGGAGAACUACGCACCAGCAUUCACAGCUCCUCUGAUAGCCAGAAGCAUAUUCCCCAGCAUUUCCUAACCAAAUGUGUCCAGAGCAAAUCCAUGUGAGUGUUCUACUCUGCCUGCAGCAUGAGUAAACAGUUCAACCCAUUGCUUAAUUCCAUUCCCCUAAGGCUGUUGAGCCCUUUCUCCUACCCAAGAUGUUAACAUAAGAUACAUUCAUCUCAGCUGCACCCACCCAACAUCUCAGCCUUUAAAACACUCCAGCCCUUACCGUUACAGUGUUCAUUUUGUAUAAUCAUGUGAUCAUCUUCUGCCCAUGCUGAGUAGUAGCGCACAACAUGGGGGUGGUGUCCAAGGACCGCAUGAGCGUAAACCUCACGCAAUGCCAGCUGCCUAGAGAAGCAUGCACAGAAAAAGCAUUGGUGACAGGAUGUCAUGGUACUGUGUGGGACCAUACAAUGAGUUUGAUUUGCAGCCUGACUGGGGAAAGGGAAAGCUGAGAUGUUUUGGACUCAGAUUUUGGCAGAUGGACUGACUCACAGCUGCUGAAGCAAAGCCUUAAAAAUGGAUAUUCAGGAAUACCUCAGCUUGUCAAGCAGCUGCCAAUGCAGGCACCGCUGAACAAGUUUCCUAUUAAAGUGGAAAAGGUACUUUCAAAGACAUUGCUUCGACACAUCAGCAUGCAGAAUAACACUAGGUGGUCAAUACGGAUGCAAAUAGGUUGUGUGGAAGGCCAAUACCACAAGUAAAUAGUUUAAUAGUUGUUUUAAAGACAGACUGGCUGCAUGGGGUAUGAGGAUUCUGGGUAAGCUGCCAUAUCACUUUAUAGUGCAUGUGGCUUCUCCUCUCUGAGACACUUGUAUUUAUUUGCCCUAAAAUGGUAUCUUUCUUCACCCUCCCACCUCUUAUUUAAACAGCAGCCAGUUUUCGCUCCCACCACUCUUCAGAUACCUUUAUAUUCACACUCCCUCCUUCCCGAUCACACCUCCCAAGAACACAUCCAUCAUUUCAGCUAGCACACUCACUCAUCUGAGGAUCCUGCCAGAGGCCUCUUGGAGCGUUUGAUGGCAUAAACACAUCCGUCAAGGCGCUUGAUGCAUUUGUAGACAGAACCAAAUUCCCCUACACCAAUCCUUUCCAGUUCCAGGAAUUCCUUCUGGUAGCGGGAAACCAUAUUGCUGUCUUUCAGAGGACACCUCUAGAAGGUCAUAAGUACAGCAGAGACAGCAGUAUGAGUUGAAAGACUCAGAUACACAUCACAUUUUUAGAGCUGUGAAUCAUUCAUCCAAACACAAGACUCAUUUUACUCCCUUUCCCAUCCUGAACUCUCUCCACAUGCAUGCAGACUUUCAACUGGUAUCUUCCACUUCAAGAUUUUUGUAAUCUUCUGGGCACCUAACAAAGGCUGCCUUCAUCCAGCUCAGUCAAGAUUUAUUUAUUCUAAUCAUAGGGCUAGAAAAUGCAGCUAAGGACUAAAGAAACAGUUUAGUUGGCUGUAUGUGGCUUGCAUUACUACCAUCAUAUCCCUUCUCUUGGCAGCUCAGUCCGGUUCCUGCACCCACAACAAAUGAAGUAAAACAAGGAAGAACUGCAGAAAGAGUAUUUGCCUUCUGCUCAGCUACUGCAGACUUGAGAAGACUUGUUACCAGACUUGAUACAUGGAAGUCCAGCACUUCUGUAUCCAUCACUCACGUUCUCAGCUUGAGUUUAAAUGAGAGCUAUGGACUAUUUGGAGCUAAGGAGAAAUUGAUGCUACCCGAGCUACAUAAAACCUGCUUUAUGCUGGCAGUCAAAGUCACCUACAGCAAGCACAUCAUGCACCAGCUGAGGAUCUCAUUGGCUCUGAAGCAACAGCUGUUGACUAACUGUACUUCAGCAGGUCUAAGUGUUUGUAUUCCUAGCUAUUUCCUCACCAAGAGCCACAUCUGUACCAAGGGAUAAAAGCCUGCAGAGCAGCUGGAACAUUAUUGUUACAGUAACGGUCAUCAGAGAAAUAGAAGGUGCUGGUACUGCUUGUAGAGUGAUGUCUACCAGCAGGAGAGAGAAGGAAAAAAAGUAGUGGUGCAUGAAGGGAACAAGAAACUGGACUAUGUGAUUUCCCUUUAUCCCUCUACAUCCCUUACAGGGACAAGGUUUCCUGUUGCACAUGACUUUCCACAAAAACCACUGCUGUGAUUCCUGCUAGACUGCAAUAUGACCUUAAAGGAAGGAUUUGGUCCCCCAGUCAGAAAGAUGUGGCCCACGUGAAACAGCAGCUCUUCACAACAGGCCAAAUUUUGUAAGACAGCUAAAUAUUAGCUCAGGAAAUAAAAAUAGCUUCUAGUAACAA